GUUUGAUCCUGGCUCAGAACGAACGCUGGCGGCAGGCCUAACACAUGCAAGUCGAGCGCACCUUCGGGUGAGCGGCGGACGGGUGAGUAACGCGUGGGAAUAUGCCCUUUGGUACGGAAUAGUCCUGGGAAACUGGGGGUAAUACCGUAUGCGCCCUUCGGGGGAAAGAUUUAUCGCCAAAGGAUUAGCCCGCGUUGGAUUAGGUAGUUGGUGGGGUAAUGGCCUACCAAGCCGACGAUCCAUAGCUGGUUUGAGAGGAUGAUCAGCCACACUGGGACUGAGACACGGCCCAGACUCCUACGGGAGGCAGCAGUGGGGAAUCUUAGACAAUGGGGGCAACCCUGAUCUAGCCAUGCCGCGUGAGUGAUGAAGGCCCUAGGGUUGUAAAGCUCUUUCAGCUGGGAAGAUAAUGACGGUACCAGCAGAAGAAGCCCCGGCUAACUCCGUGCCAGCAGCCGCGGUAAUACGGAGGGGGCUAGCGUUGUUCGGAAUUACUGGGCGUAAAGCGCACGUAGGCGGACCGGAAAGUUGGGGGUGAAAUCCCGGGGCUCAACCCCGGAACUGCCUUCAAAACUAUCGGUCUGGAGUUCGAGAGAGGUGAGUGGAAUUCCGAGUGUAGAGGUGAAAUUCGUAGAUAUUCGGAGGAACACCAGUGGCGAAGGCGGCUCACUGGCUCGAUACUGACGCUGAGGUGC
Molecule: ribosomal RNA, 695 nt
Filed under: Paracoccus sp. AS7
Lineage: Bacteria; Pseudomonadati; Pseudomonadota; Alphaproteobacteria; Rhodobacterales; Paracoccaceae
Description: bacterial SSU rRNA
Rfam family: Bacterial small subunit ribosomal RNA
Source: RNAcentral